AGCAUUACAAGNAUUAGAGGCACUGCCUGCCCAGUGACAUAAGUUAAACGGCCGCGGUAUCCUGACCGUGCAAAGGUAGCAUAAUCAUUUGUUCCUUAAUUAGGGACUAGUAUGAACGGCCACACGAGGGUUUAACUGUCUCUUAUUUCUAAUCAGUGAAAUUGACCUUCCCGUGAAGAGGCGGGAAUAAAAAAAUAAGACGAGAAGACCCUAUGGAGCUUAAAUUAUAUAACUCAAUAAUAAUAACUAAACUCCUACAUAGGAAUUAUAAAAUCAAUUAUCUCAGUUAGAUUUCGGUUGGGGUGACCUCGGAGUACAAAACAACCUCCGAGAGAUUUUAAACCAAGAUUAACAAAUCAAAGUAAUAAAUCAAUUAUUGAUCCAAUCUAAUUGAUCAACGAAACAAGUUACCCUAGGGAUAACAGCGCAAUCCUAUUCAAGAGUCCUUAUCGACAAUAGGGUUUACGACCUCGAUGUUGGAUCAGGACAUCCUAAUGGUGCAGCAGCUAUUAAUGGU
RNAcentral lists this ribosomal RNA (517 nucleotides) under Congosorex sp. CNRS_Paimpont. RNAcentral describes it as "partial 16S ribosomal RNA". It matches the Rfam family "Bacterial large subunit ribosomal RNA", at positions 1832 to 2572 of the family's 2925-position model. Lineage: Eukaryota; Metazoa; Chordata; Mammalia; Eulipotyphla; Soricidae. The record is from RNAcentral.